Molecule: ribosomal RNA, 900 nt
Filed under: Triticum aestivum (bread wheat)
Lineage: Eukaryota; Viridiplantae; Streptophyta; Magnoliopsida; Poales; Poaceae
Description: partial small subunit ribosomal RNA
Source: RNAcentral
UCCUUUUCUUUUUUCCUCGAAGGAAAGAAGAGGGGAGGAGGAGCCUAACCUAGGGAAGGGAGGGAGACUAAGGUAAGGUAGCCUCGGACCGCUCCGCUGCCACCUCACUUCUAGAACUGUCCUGACGGAGCGAGGGGUGCCGCCGCUCCGCUCUGGCUGGCCGCUGCGCGCCGGUCGGGACUUAACUUAGUCGAUGGUACCGCCGGAACGGUAACCGAUGUCGACUUCAGACGCUGCGGUUGAGCGUGGAGUAGUGGCCGCCGCUCGACGCGCGCGACGUCGGGCAGAAGGUCUAGAUGCCCUCCGCCGUCCAGAAGCGCCCGGGGUAGCACUGCGAGUUCCACAAGCUCCUGUUGCACGAGCAGGCGCUCAAGGACCUCCUCUUCCCGGUCCCGUCCCACGACCACCACCUGCCGCCGCCGUCGGACGCCACGCGGUAGGACCCGCCGUUGGGGCAGGUCGUCCGCGUCUUGUUGCCCACCCGCCCCUAGCACCACUUGCCCACGUAGGCCCUGCACCUGCUCUAGUUGCCCACGCUGUAGCCGCACGCGCGGGAGCGGAGCGUGGGGUACUUCCGGUUGUUCUUCCCCUACCCGCUCUUCGUGCAGGGCCAGUGGUAGCGCCCGUGGUCCUAGACGCUGCCGCUCACCGAGAUGCGGCUGUGGCUGCCGUAGGAGCAGAGGUCCUGGCUCGAGUAGCACAUCCUCUCCGGCGGCGGAGCAACAGGCACAACAAGGUGAUACACCAACAUCAACGAACUUAACUUACUACAACAUAGAGUUGAACUCUAAGUCUUCGAGACUUGAACAUUAUUGACAUUCGAAUUUAACGGACUAGUUUACCUUACUCCUUACCCUUAUUUUAAUAGACAACGUACGGACAGUUUUUACAGUUUCUCUC